UUUCCGUAGGUGAACCUGCGGAAGGAUCAUUAUUGUAUAACCGAGGUGCGAGGGCUGUCGCUGACCCGAAAGGUCGUGCACGCCCGAGUGCCCUCACACACAUCCAUCUCACCCCUAUGUGCACCACCGCGUGAGCCCCCCUUUGGCUUGGUCGGAGGGGGGCUUACGUUUUCAAACAAACUUUGUAUGCAGUGUAGAAUGUAUUUUUUGUUUUUGCGAUCACGCAAUCAAUACAACUUUCAACAACGGAUCUCUUGGCUCUC
Molecule: unclassified non-coding RNA, 263 nt
Filed under: plant metagenome
Description: partial contains small subunit ribosomal RNA, internal transcribed spacer 1, and 5.8S ribosomal RNA
Source: RNAcentral